ACGGGAGGCAGCAGUGGGGAAUUUUCCGCAAUGGGCGAAAGCCUGACGGAGCAAGACCGCGUGAGGGAGGAAGGCUCUUGGGUUGUAAACCUCUUUUCUCAGGGAAGAAGCUCUGACGGUACCUGAGGAAUCAGCCUCGGCUAACUCCGUGCCAGCAGCCGCGGUAAUACGGAGGAGGCAAGCGUUAUCCGGAAUUAUUGGGCGUAAAGCGUCCGCAGGUGGCGAUUCAAGUCUGCUGUCAAAGCACGGGGCUUAACUCCGUUAAGGCAGUGGAAACUGAAUAGCUAGAGUGCCGUAGGGGUAGAGGGAAUUCCCGGUGUAGCGGUGAAAUGCGUAGAGAUCGGGAAGAACAUCGGUGGCGAAAGCGCUCUACUGGACGGCAACUGACACUUAGGGACGAAAGCUAGGGGAGCGAAUGGGAUUAGAUACCCAGUAGUCCUAGCUGUAAACGAUGGAUACUAGGUGUAGCUUGUAUCGACCCGAGCUGUGCCGAAGCUAACGCGUUAAGUAUCCCGCCUGGGGAGUACGCACGCAAGUGUGAAACUCAAAGGAAUUGACGGGGGCCCGCACAAGCGGUGGAGUAUGUGGUUUAAUUCGAUGCAACGCGAAGAACCUUACCAGGGCUUGACAUGUCCGGAAUCCCGGUGAAAGCUGGGAGUGCCUUCGGGAGCCGGAACACAGGUGGUGCAUGGCUGUCGUCAGCUCGUGCCGUGAGAUGUUGGGUUAAGUCCCGCAACGAGCGCAACCCUCGUCUUUAGUUGCCAGCAUUAAGUUGGGCACUCUAGAGAGACUGCCGGUGACAAACCGGAGGAAGGUGGGGAUGACGUCAAGUCAGCAUGCCCCUUACGCUCUGGGCGACACACGUACUACAAUGGUCGGGACAGAGGGCGGCGAACCUGCGAAGGCAAGCUAAUCCCAGCAAACUCGGCCUCAGUUCAGAUCGCAGGCUGCAACUCGCCUGCGUGAAGGAGGAAUCGCUAGUAAUCGCCGGUCAGAAUACGGCGGUGAAUCCGUUCCCGGGCAUUGUACACACCGCCCGUCACACCAUGGAAGCUGGCCACGCCCGAAGUCGUUACCCUAACCUUUCGGGGAAGGGGA
RNAcentral lists this ribosomal RNA (1098 nucleotides) under uncultured organism. Its description in RNAcentral is "bacterial SSU rRNA". It matches the Rfam family "Bacterial small subunit ribosomal RNA", at positions 341 to 1453 of the family's 1533-position model. The record is from RNAcentral.